UAGGGAAUCUUCGGCAAUGGGGGGAACCCUGACCGAGCAACGCCGCGUGAGUGAAGAAGGUUUUCGGAUCGUAAAGCUCUGUUGUUAAGGAAGAACGAGUGUGAGAAUGGAAAGUUCAUACUGUGACGGUACUUAACCAGAAAGGGACGGCUAACUACGUGCCAGCAGCCGCGGUAAUACGUAGGUCCCGAGCGUUGUCCGGAUUUAUUGGGCGUAAAGCGAGCGCAGGCGGUUAGAUAAGUCUGAAGUUAAAGGCAGUGGCUCAACCAUUGUAGGCUUUGGAAACUGUUUAACGUGAGUGCAGAAGAGGAGAGUGGAAUUCCAUGUGGAGCGGUGAAAUGCGUAGAUAUAUGGAGGAACACCAAUGGCGAAGGCGACUCUCUGGUCUGUAACUGACGCUGAGGCUCGAAAGCGUGGGUAGCAAACAGG
This 429-nucleotide ribosomal RNA is filed under the name Bacteroidota bacterium. RNAcentral's name for it is "Bacteroidetes bacterium partial 16S ribosomal RNA". It matches the Rfam family "Bacterial small subunit ribosomal RNA", at positions 355 to 776 of the family's 1533-position model. The record is from RNAcentral. Lineage: Bacteria; Pseudomonadati; Bacteroidota.